This 465-nucleotide ribosomal RNA is filed under the name Vreelandella stevensii. RNAcentral's name for it is "partial 16S ribosomal RNA". It matches the Rfam family "Bacterial small subunit ribosomal RNA", at positions 338 to 795 of the family's 1533-position model. The record is from RNAcentral. Lineage: Bacteria; Pseudomonadati; Pseudomonadota; Gammaproteobacteria; Oceanospirillales; Halomonadaceae.
CCUACGGGAGGCAGCAGUGGGGAAUAUUGGACAAUGGGGGCAACCCUGAUCCAGCCAUGCCGCGUGUGUGAAGAAGGCCCUCGGGUUGUAAAGCACUUUCAGUGAGGAAGAACGCCUGGUGGUUAAUACCCAUCAGGAAAGACAUCACUCACAGAAGAAGCACCGGCUAACUCCGUGCCAGCAGCCGCGGUAAUACGGAGGGUGCGAGCGUUAAUCGGAAUUACUGGGCGUAAAGCGCGCGUAGGUGGCUUGAUAAGCCGGUUGUGAAAGCCCCGGGCUCAACCCGGGAACGGCAUCCGGAACUGUCAAGCUAGAGUGCAGGAGAGGAAGGUAGAAUUCCCGGUGUAGCGGUGAAAUGCGUAGAGAUCGGGAGGAAUACCAGUGGCGAAGGCGGCCUUCUGGACUGACGCUGACACUGAGGUGCGAAAGCGUGGGUAGCAAACAGGAUUAGAUACCCUUGUAGUC